AUUGAACGCUGGCGGCAUGCCUUACACAUGCAAGUCGAACGGUAGAGGGGGCAACCCCUUGAGAGUGGCGAACGGGUGAGUAAUGCAUCGGAACGUGCCCAGUUGUGGGGGAUAACACUUCGAAAGAAGUGCUAAUACCGCAUACGACCUGAGGGUGAAAGGGGGGGAUUCGCAAGAACCUCCUGCAAUUGGAGCGGCCGAUGUCAGAUUAGGUAGUUGGUGGGGUAAAAGCCUACCAAGCCGACGAUCUGUAGCUGGUCUGAGAGGACGACCAGCCACACUGGGACUGAGACACGGCCCAGACUCCUACGGGAGGCAGCAGUGGGGAAUUUUGGACAAUGGACGCAAGUCUGAUCCAGCCAUGCCGCGUGCAGGAAGAAGGCCUUCGGGUUGUAAACUGCUUUUGUCAGGGAAGAAAUCCUCUGGGCUAAUAUCCUGGGGGGAUGACGGUACCUGAAGAAUAAGCACCGGCUAACUACGUGCCAGCCGCCGCCGUAA
Molecule: ribosomal RNA, 498 nt
Filed under: uncultured bacterium
Lineage: Bacteria
Description: partial 16S ribosomal RNA
Rfam family: Bacterial small subunit ribosomal RNA
Source: RNAcentral